RNAcentral lists this transfer RNA (77 nucleotides) under Clostridia bacterium. RNAcentral's name for it is "tRNA-Val". It matches the Rfam family "tRNA". Rfam says of the family: Transfer RNA (tRNA) molecules are approximately 80 nucleotides in length. Their secondary structure includes four short double-helical elements and three loops (D, anti-codon, and T loops). RNAcentral also lists the same sequence under 2 other names. The record is from RNAcentral. Lineage: Bacteria; Bacillati; Bacillota; Clostridia.
GGAGGCUUAGCCCAGUUGGCUAGAGCACUUGCUUGACGUGCAAGGGGUCACAGGUUCGAGUCCUGUAGUCUCCACCA